RNAcentral lists this ribosomal RNA (649 nucleotides) under uncultured bacterium. RNAcentral describes it as "bacterial SSU rRNA". It matches the Rfam family "Bacterial small subunit ribosomal RNA", at positions 43 to 679 of the family's 1533-position model. The record is from RNAcentral.
CAGGCCUAACACAUGCAAGUCGAGCGGUAGCAGGAGGUGCUUGCACUUCGCUGACGAGCGGCGGACGGGUGCGUAACACGUAGGAAUCUGCCCGGUAGUGGGGGAUAGCCCGGAGAAAUUCGGAUUAAUACCGCAUACGCCCUAAGGGGGAAAGCAGGGGAUCGGUUCGCCGACCUUGCGCUAUCGGAUGAGCCUGCGUCGGAUUAGCUAGUUGGUGGGGUAAAGGCCCACCAAGGCGACGAUCCGUAGCUGGUCUGAGAGGAUGAUCAGCCACACUGGGACUGAGACACGGCCCAGACUCCUACGGGGGGCAGCAGUGGGGAAUAUUGCACAAUGGGCGAAGGCCUGAUGCAGCCAUGCCGCGUGUGUGAAGAAGGCCCUAGGGUUGUAAAGCACUUUCAGUGGGGAGGAAAGGUUGAAGGUUAAUACCCUUUAGCUGUGACGUUACCCACAGAAGAAGCACCGGCUAACUCCGUGCCAGCAGCCGCGGUAAUACGGAGGGUGCGAGCGUUAAUCGGAAUUACUGGGCGUAAAGCGUGCGUAGGCGGCUUUUUAAGUUGGAUGUGAAAGCCCCGGGCUUAACCUGGGAACUGCAUCCAAAACUGGAAGGCUUGAGUGCGAGAGAGGAGUGUGGAAUUUCCUGUGUAGC